GCAGUCAUACAAAAUUAACCAGACCCAAAGUCUAUCCAUCUCAGUGAGCUUCUAAAUAGUUUAAAUAUAUUUUGAAGGCAUGGAGCUUCACAUUGGAUUUUACAUUUUCAAUAUCAAAUAUAUUUUUAUACACAUAAUAAGUUAGAAAGAAGCUUUCAUGUGCUGUCAAAUAUACUUUUAAACUUAAUAUAAGCAGAUUCUUUUGGACACUUUUUAGGUGUGUGAAAUGUUAAUGAGCAGCACACACACACACACACACACACACACACACACACACACACACACAAAGGUCUUAACCCUGAACCCUGGUUCUGGCUUUCCCUUUCCCAGUUGUGCUUUUAUAAAAAGCAAGAGAGAAAUGAGCAGUCAUACAGCAUAUCACAAGAAAGCACAUAUGCAAGCUGUGUUUUGGAGGCAAAGUUCUAUUUUAGGUAAUGCUCUAAACGUACACUUGUUCUGUAACAUAUUUUGCAUUGAUGGACACAUAUAUUUCAAUAAAUGAAAGACUAUAUAAGAUAUGUUUGAGUAAGGAUUAAAUUGUGAGCCAAUUAAAGAUGAAAUAAGUUUUCAGUUGAAUAGUUUCCAGCUGCGUGUGGUGGUGCACACCUUUAAUCCCAGCAGUAGGGAGGCAGAGGUGGGAGGAUCUCUAUGAGUUCAAGGCCAGCCUGGUCUACAGAGCCAGUCCUGAAUAACCAGGGCUACACAAAGAAAUCCUGUCUCGAAAACCCAAACUAAAACAAAUAACAACAAUAAAAACCAAAACCAUAAAUUUAACAGUUUUCUCCUUUGUGGCAUUAUUUAAAGGGACAGAGAAGAGCAAGAGAAAAUUGGGAAUAUGGUUUAUGAAUAUGAAGGUUAUCCCAACUGCUAUAGUAAAACCUGUGCAUGUAAAGAGAAUGAGGAACAAACAAUACAAACAUGUGAAAUGUAGGCAGUGCUUCAGUCUCUCCACAAACAUAGAGCUGAAUGAUGCUGUCAGAACAGAGUACCGGAUGGCACAACACGAAAAAAAUAUCUAUCAAUUGUAUAACACUUCUUAAGGAUGACUUCGUGCAUUUCCUUUUCCUUUGCAGCAGCUGUAGGUAGCUUAAAAGUGGCAUAAAACUGCCUAUCGGGAAACUCUUGCUACUUAUUUUAGCAGCCAAAGCCUUCUGGAAUAAGCUAUGCUUUCAUACUGUAUAUUAUUACUUCCCCAUGAUUAGUAUUAAUUACAAUUAUCAUAUGAGUUGCACUGAAGUUUGGCUGUAAGAAUCAAUGCAUAGGGUGAAACACAGUGUCCUGGCUAGUUUUAUAUCAACUUGGCACAAGCUAAAGUCAUCUGAGAGGAGGGACCAUCAGUUAAGAAAAUGCCUCCAUAAGAUCAGGCUGUGGGAAAGCCUGUAGGGCAUUUUCUUAAUUAUUUAUUAAAGUGGGAGUGUCCAGCCUUUGUGGGUGGUGACAUUCCUGGGCUGUCAGUAAGCAACAGCCCUCCAUAGCUUCUGCCUCCGCUCCUGUCUCCAGGUUCCUGUCCGAUUUGAGUUCCUGUCCUGGCUUUCUUCAGAGAUGAACGGCAAUGUGGAAGUGUAAGCCAAAUAAACCCUUUCCUCCCCAACUCACUUUUUUGGUCAUGGUGUUUUGUUGUAGAAUAGAACCCCUAACUAAGAUACAUGGUAACUCAAAAUCUUCAACAUGUUACUGUAUGUCUGAAGAUAAAGUCUCUGAAAAGAAGAAAGCAGUCUUCUGAAAGUCAGAACUGCAGUCUUUCAAGUCCAACCAUCCUCACAUCCAUUGAGUUAGGGUGGAAGCUGAGAGUGGAGCCUGACUGCCCCACUGAGCACAGCUGUGGACAGCAGGCUUCGAACAGCUGCCCAGCCUGGACCAUGAGCUGGCCAAAAGUCAGGACUGCACAGCUCUGCAUAGAAUCUCCGUUGGAAGAGAACAUAAGAGGUAGUGGAAUAAGUGGAGGAAGGAUUAAGAGCGCAUGCCUGCGGUGGCACACACCUUUGAUCCCAGCACUUGGGAGGCAGAGCCAGGCAGAUCUCUGUGAGAUCUCUGUGAGUUCAAGGCCAGCCUGGUCUACAGAGCGAGAUCCACAACAGCUUUGAUACUCUUCCAGUGGCUUCUCUUUGAACAAGCGAGCCUGCACAUGAACAAAUACCACAAGACAUAAGGUGUGGUCUGUGCUCUGUGGACAAUCUCAGGAUUUCCAGGAGUAAACAAUUCGGAAAACACAUGGCCAUUGGCAGGUCUACAGCAGCAGCUCCAGCUACCUUUCUGUGACAGUGAAACUCAUCUGUUGUCUCCAUCUUCUGAUGCUGAAGACAAAUGGACCAUUAAAAAUGUGGCUGGUGGGACCGAAGAACCAAUCUUCAAUUAUAUCCCAUUUUUAUUUAAAUAUAAAUGUGCACAUCACAUGUGACCAGCAACAAUCAAAAUCCAAGCUGGUGAAAGGUUGGUGGCUGCCUCAGAAUGGCUGGAUUUCCUGCGUUUCUGGAGUGAUGGUUCCCAGUCUGUGAGAUUCCCCCAUUCUUUCUCACACAUGGAACUGCACAGCAAACGUGGAUACAAGGAAGAAGUGAAUGGGUGAGGUGUGACUCAAGUGUUUCUGAUGCAAUCUCACUUCUGGGUAGUACUUCCUCUGGCCUCAUCCUGGAAAGAUGAGGUUCUUCCAGUGAAUGUUCCUGGUGUGGCAUCCUGUCUUCCUCUUCCUUAGAGUUCCUUUCCCUCACCUAUUCACCUCAUAUCAGGUGAAACUGGGACUUGGCCUACAACCAGACUAGGGGACUGACUAAGAAGGCUUCUCAUUUUGUGUUCAAUAAUGUGGACAGCAGGAGAGGAAGCAUCAUCCACCAAGAGGGGUGUGUUCACACAAACUACACUCCGUCCCUUAACACCACUAUGGAACAGCUUUGACUGGCCACUUGAAUUUGACCCUGAAAGAAAAUCCUCUAAUGCCUUACAUGGCUUGUAUUAAUUAAAAGAAAGAAAAAAAAUAUUAAGUCCACAAAAUGGCAUUGUAUAAAACAGCUUAAUCCAGAUAAAAACACAAUGAGGAAUUGUGCUACUCAACUGUAUUUGCCGGUGUGCCAAAUGCUCAAUGUUCAAGCAACUAUACUUGUCAGAUUACAGACCCCAUAGGUGUUGUCCCCUCUCUUUCUCCCAACUCAGUCAGACCACACCACCUGCAUCCUUUCUAAUCUUUCCUGUCUUCACCAAAGACAGGCUAUCCAUAUACACAGCACCAGUGGGGAUAAACAAGUAAAUUUUUGAGUACAGUUUGCCCUUAAGAAACUUACAUUCUGGUUCAAGGUCUCACAAUGAUAACUACAAAAAAAAUUAACUAUGGAGUAGCAUUAUACAAAAUAAGAUGACAGAUGAAACUAGACGUAUUAAAAGGAGCACAUAUAAACGGAAGGAAGGAAUGAGCGUGGUCUUAAAUGAUGGUUCUGUGUGGCACAAAAAGGUAAUCAUUAAUCUGAAGAAGAUAAGACUUUGCACAAACAAUGUGAGAGUCAAGCAUUUCCCAUGUGGUCAUUUCUGGUUUCUGUAUCUUUAACUUGGGAGCAAAUACUUUUCAUUUAAAAAGCCAAACUCACUCUUUGUUUUUGUUUUGUUUAAUCUAGGCAGACUUUUCCAAGCCAAUCUUAUGUUUUGUCCUGGUGGUGAGAAUAUUUUCCUUGUGUUUUCUGGGAUACACACACACACACACACACACACACACACACACACACAAAA
Peromyscus maniculatus bairdii (prairie deer mouse) is the source of this 3714-nucleotide non-coding RNA. NCBI's taxonomy places the organism in Eukaryota, Metazoa, Chordata, Mammalia, Rodentia, Cricetidae. The record is from RefSeq and is a predicted model, not a curated record.